AUGGCGCCUCUCUCCACCGCCGUCCGCCUCCUGUGCUCCCCCGCGGCUCCGCACGUCGUCCCUUCCCCGCCCGCCGGCCACGCCGGGGCGCCAGCGCGCUUUUGGUGCCGCCGCCGGCUUCGGUCGGUGCGCGCGGAGGCGGCCAAGGAGGCGGAGGUGGGGGAGCUCAGGGCCGGGGUGUCCGUCUACAAGCCUCGCUCCUACGAGGUUCUCUUCUCCGACGCCGCCCACUCCCUCACCGCCGCCAUCGACGACGGCAGGACCCGCCUCGAGAUUGAGUUCCCGUAA
This 288-nucleotide ribosomal RNA is filed under the name Triticum aestivum (bread wheat). Its description in RNAcentral is "partial small subunit ribosomal RNA". The record is from RNAcentral. Lineage: Eukaryota; Viridiplantae; Streptophyta; Magnoliopsida; Poales; Poaceae.